GUUCUUUUAGUAUUAAAUAGUACAGCUGACUUCCAAUUAGCUAGUUCCGAUACUAUUCGGAAAAGAACA
Molecule: transfer RNA, 69 nt
Filed under: Macrotus californicus (California big-eared bat)
Lineage: Eukaryota; Metazoa; Chordata; Mammalia; Chiroptera; Phyllostomidae
Description: tRNA-Gly
Source: RNAcentral